RNAcentral lists this ribosomal RNA (397 nucleotides) under uncultured bacterium. RNAcentral's name for it is "bacterial SSU rRNA". It matches the Rfam family "Bacterial small subunit ribosomal RNA", at positions 358 to 772 of the family's 1533-position model. The record is from RNAcentral.
GGAAUAUUGGACAAUGGGGGAAACCCUGAUCCAGCAAUGCCGCGUGAAUGAAGAAGGCCUUAGGGUUGUAAAGUUCUUUCACCUGUGAAGAUAAUGACGGUAGCAGGAGAAGAAGCCCCGGCAAACUCCGUGCCAGCAGCCGCGGUAAGACGGAGGGGGCUAGCGUUGUUCGGAAUGACUGGGCGUAAAGGGCGCGUAGGCGGUUUAUUAAGUGAGGCGUGAAAGCCCCGGGCUUAACCCGGGAGGUGCGUUUCAUACUGGUAGACUUGAGUGCGAGAGAGGAAAGUGGAAUUCCUAGUGUAGAGGUGAAAUUCGUAGAUAUUAGGAAGAACACCAGAGGCGAAGGCGGCUUUCUGGCUCGCAACUGACGCUGAGGCGCGAAAGCGUGGGGAGCAAA